RNAcentral lists this ribosomal RNA (494 nucleotides) under uncultured bacterium. RNAcentral's name for it is "partial 16S ribosomal RNA". It matches the Rfam family "Bacterial small subunit ribosomal RNA", at positions 28 to 507 of the family's 1533-position model. The record is from RNAcentral.
GACGAACGCUGGCGGCGUGCUUGACACAUGCAAGUCGAACGGAAAGGCCUGCUUUCCCUUGUGGAUUGCGGGUACUCGAGUGGCGAACGGGUGAGUAACACGUGAGUGAUCUGCCCCCAACUUGGGUAUAAGCCUGGGAAACUGGGUCUAAUUCCCGAUAGGACUGCAGGGUGGUGCCUGUGGUGGAAAACGAUUUUCUAGUUGUUGGGGAUGAGCUCGCGGCCUAUCAGCUUGUUGGUGGGGUAAUGGCCUACCAAGGCGGCGACGGGUAGCCGGCCUGAGAGGGUGGACGGCCACAUUGGGGCUGAGAAACGGCCCAGACUCCUACGGGAGGCAGAAGUGGGGAAUAUUGCACAAUGGGCGGAAGCCUGAUGCAGCGACGCCGCGUGGGGGAUGACGGCCUUCGGGUUGUAAACUCCUUUCGACCGCGAGGAAGCCACCUGGUUGGAAGGGUGGUGACGGUAGUGGUAGAAGAAGCACCGGCUAACUACGUG